Molecule: unclassified non-coding RNA, 196 nt
Filed under: uncultured Elaphomyces
Lineage: Eukaryota; Fungi; Ascomycota; Eurotiomycetes; Eurotiales; Elaphomycetaceae
Description: sequence contains ITS2
Source: RNAcentral
CCAUCCCCUCAAGCUCCGCUUGGCUGGUUGGGCCGACGUCCACCCGUGGCUUUGUGCCGGGGGGAGACGGGCCCGAAAGGCAGUGGCGGCUCCCGGAGGGUGGUCCCUUGGGGCGGUUGAUACAUGGGUUGUCAUCUUCCACCGCUCCGUUGGCCACGCUCCGGGGGUCCAGUCGAACGAUUGGUCUUCCCCUCUA